CCCAAAGGGCAUAAACAUUACAACAUCAAUAAUUUUUUCAUAAUACAAUACAAACAAUGAGAUAAAAAAAAAAAAAAGUUUAAACGAGAACUAUUUAAGUUCUUAAAGAAUACGUAGAUAAAGAAUCUAUAGUAUGUUUUUUUUUUAAUACUAAUGCAUUUUAUUGCAAGUGUGGUUGAUAUAGAUAACAAACAAGCAGCCCAAAAAGAAAAAAAAGAAAAAUAUAUCCACAUAUGUAUAGUACACAAAAAGUUGGAUCAAUUAAAUAUAUAAUAAUUAGCCAAAAAGAAAGUAGAAAUUAAACAUGUCCAUGACUCAUCCUGUGUCAGCAGCAAAUAGGAAAGCAUUAUGGUUUCCUAAAGGCAGCUGACACCAGGGGGCGAUACCUUAUGGGCCAUAGGCAUGUAAAAUGUGUGUAAAUGUCUCUUUCCUACCUGUAUCAAAAGCAAACAAGGAAG
RNAcentral lists this long non-coding RNA (458 nucleotides) under Mytilus galloprovincialis (Mediterranean mussel). Lineage: Eukaryota; Metazoa; Mollusca; Bivalvia; Mytilida; Mytilidae. The record is from RNAcentral.